AGUUGCUCCUCAGACUUAACCCAUUAACUGCCAUCAUCUCUCUUUCUCUAUCUCUCCUCCCCCCCUUUUCUGUCUGUCUGCCUCUGGCCUUUGCCUCGGCCUGUCCACUCCUUUCCUCACCAUGGCGACUUAUUACGAGGCUGCGAUCACGUGACCAAUGCAUUGACGGAAGUAAAGACGGAAACCAUCCCAAGUGGUUCCAGUGAGGAGGCAGGUGGUGGAUGUGUCACAAAACACAGGGCUUUCACCAGGAGACUGGUGUGUGGAGCCAUGUAAACUCUGAGUGAACUUUGAGUCAUUUUAAGCCCUGUUUUGCUGCCUUUGAGUAAAGGCAGCGCAGCGAAUGUAAAGCUGUGUGAUAACAGGGCCAUUCGCCACAGCACUGAGUUUGACCCUGCAACCAGCCUCCAUGACGGAUGUGAGAUGAUUCCUAGCCCUCCAGCUCAGCACGACACACUCAGCACAACUCAAACACACUCUCCCAAUCUCUCUCUCGUUUUCCUGUGUUGCCUGUCUUCUUCUCCAUCUCUCUCCCUCUCUGUCAGUUACUCCGCAGAUUGACUCGCUGCUGUAUGCUGUCUAUUUAAAGCUGGUGCCAUAACCACCCACUGCUUCUUUAAGAAGUGGUGACUCACCUAAACAGAUCAGCCCAGCAGUGUGUGUGUAUGUGUGCGCGCACAUGAGUGUGUGUGUGUUUAGGGAUGUUAUAUCAUCUCGGCUUUAGUUCGUCUUUGGCUAUAGGCCUUCUCUGUUUGGUGACAAGUGCAGCUGUUUUUUAACGAUAGCGCUUGUCUGUGUGUCAAACCGGUAUCUGCAGGAUUCCCAGAUUAAUGCAAACACACACUCCAACAUACACACACACUCAGACCCAAUCUGUGCACUUAGUGUCACUGAGUUAUGUGCUAUUCUGGGUGCAUCCAGGGGACUUUCCAGCUUAUGGGAAAAGCAAAUGAGCGAAUUUGCAUUUUCCCCACUUUGCUCAGUAAUGAGAUAUAUGUAAGGGGCUAUAUGGGCGCAAAAUGAAGGUUGUGUAUCUGAGCAGACUAGGUAUGGCUGCCAAUUAGAAAACAAACAAGGCAAUGCAUAUGGUGUGUUCUGUAUGUGUGGCAGGAGCUUCCAGGCAGCCAGGCUGAGCAGUCUUCACUGCCAUGGUUUUGAGUCUCCCCUCACUUCUCUGCAUUAUUAAAUCAUCCCUGAAUAAUUCACUGCCUUUCGUAUCAAACAAAUAUUUUUGCAACUUGCACCUACAAAUAGGUGAGGGAAGGGCUGCUGUACCAUACUGUAUUUAGUCACGAGGAAGGCGAUGUUGGGAUAGAGUGUUUAUGUUUGUUUAUGAUCUGAAUGCUGUCCAGAUUUGGGAGGCUGUGUGAACGUCACGUGAGCUGCUGUUUGCUGCUGAAUGUCAUGAGUCAUGCCCUCACAGAGACCUGGCAUUCUUUCCUCUAUAUACACUGUGACAUACAGUAUGAUAUCAGUGUGCCUCAGCUGUGAUGUGCUUUACUUCUCUGAAGUUGACUCCAGAGAGCUCCAUCAAGUUGGCAGCACAUGUGCUUGUACUGAGAUAUAAUGUUUGUUUCUCAAUGUGACAUUUAGGUGUAUUGUCUCUUUUUCAUAUUCAAAUUAUUUGCACACAUAUAGAUAUAUGUGUUUUCCUCUGUUUAAUGUGGUCCUAAGGGUUUGAUUGCAUUACUUUUCUAUGCUUUUUUUUUUCAUUGGUAGUGAGACACAUAAGUAGAGUCUGACUCGGGUUGACCAGCCGAUGUGAUGCAGCACCUCAUCCACACCGUGAAUAACGACAUGUCUGCACCACCUAAAGUGCAUUGCUCCAGCAUGUUACUAUGCAAACUCUGUGCGGUGAAGAUUUUCAGACCCUGUCUGAGCGAUGAUAGGCGACGACUAAAUCCCAGCGAUGACGCCGCGAUGUCAUGGCGGGCAAGGACUGACUCGUGUGCUGACUUGUUAGUCAUGCUUUGAUGCACAGUUUAAAGAGGACUCCAGGAAGCCGGUCCAAUGCGCAUGCGCACUUCUCUCUCUCUGACACACACACACACACACACAGAAAAAACACACACUUUUUGCACAUUUGCACAAAGGAACACACAGCCGCUGAGUGCUUUAAAAGGAAAGCGGCUGCAUCAUUUGGUAGUCUGACAUGAAACCUUGGUCAUGUGUUUUUAUGAGGUGACUUCAGAACAGUUUCUUGUACAGUUACAGAAUUCAUAAACACUGAAAUUACAGCAUUAAAAAAGCACCUCAGAAUCAGGACACCAUUUGUUAAACUUAAAAAAAAAAUAACAGUCAGUUUAAAAAAAAAAAAGUGUUGCAUUCAAUCAUAUUAUAGGUCACUGUUUUAUUCAUGACUUUGCUUUUAAAAUGUGUGUCCCACUGUAAGCUAAAACAUGACAGUGACACAAUUACUGGUAUGCCCCUAAAAAUCGUAUGGAAAUUACUCAUUUUUUAGUUAAACCCACUGACAAUAUACAUACAUUUGAAGAAAAAAAAAUCACUCGAUUAGAUUGUGAUUUAAAAAUUAGGCCUGUAGUCUCUUUGGACGUUCAGUAAAGCCCGACGAGGAUUGUUGUCCCUGUGCUGGUGCUUAGAGUUAGACACAGUGUUGAAACCUUUUAUAGCACACAGAGAGAGAGAAAACUUUAUUUAGUAUAUUUAGUUCUAUAAAAGUAAGUUAGAGUUAUGGUGAUGACUUAUAUAUACAGUACACAUAUAAUGUCCUCUGUGUGGGGUCAAAUGUAAUUAAACUACAAGGUGAUAACUUAUGUGUUAACAUAGCAAUAUAAUGGAAUGGUCAAUCAACACAAAAUAAAACAAAAUAAAAUAGAAUAAAAAUAAAAGUUGUUGCUGAUAUAUUAGAAAUAAAAUCCACUGCAUUUUAUUUACAUUGCUGCUCACAGCCUUGUCGGAAAAAUAAAUAAAAAAGCAUUGAAAUUAUUUAUUUUCAAGUGUCACUCCUAAACUUGGCCAUAAGGCCACUUUUCUAACUUUGUUUUGAGAUGAUGAUAUUUCCUAAUAAAGAGAUAAAUUAAAAGUAAGAUAAUAAAUCAACAACAAGAUAACCAGAGGCACUGAUAUAUUUCAUUUUAGUAUUAAAAAUAUUCUCACUUACUUUAAUAUGAGUAUAUCAUUUAGAAAAAAUAUAUAUAUGCCUGAUAUGAUGUACUUGCUUCAUUUAUUUUGUUAUUACCUGUGAUAUAUUUUUUGUCAUAUUUGACUUUAUUUUGCUUUUUGUUUUGAUUGUGGAUGAUUCCCUUCAUAUAAAAUGAUUUCUGAUUUGACUUUAGAGAAUUCAUGUAGUGUGACAUGUAAUACUGCAGUG
This is a long non-coding RNA of Epinephelus fuscoguttatus (brown-marbled grouper), 3331 nucleotides long. RefSeq lists it as uncharacterized. The record is from RefSeq and is a predicted model, not a curated record. The transcript is spliced from 3 exons. NCBI's taxonomy places the organism in Eukaryota, Metazoa, Chordata, Actinopteri, Perciformes, Serranidae.